This 209-nucleotide long non-coding RNA is filed under the name Nicotiana benthamiana. RNAcentral describes it as "long non-coding RNA (NBEN_LNC035903)". The record is from RNAcentral. Lineage: Eukaryota; Viridiplantae; Streptophyta; Magnoliopsida; Solanales; Solanaceae.
UGCAGUGAAAUGUCUAUGUCUAGUGAAGCAUGCGGGAGCAAUAUGUCCAAUUUUAUUGCAAUAAUACAAAUGACAUUCGAAUUGUGCAUUCUUCUAGGAUGAUAAUAAUUUGGGGGUCUAAAAUUAUUCACUCUAUUUUUAGGAACAUAGUUUGAUGUAGUUUUCGAAAAUCUUGUCUAGGUGGUCUAUACAUGCCAACGUUUCUUCUA